UAGCAUGUGAUGAGAUAUACUCGGAUUCCCCUUCUUACAUUAUGGGUGAUGUGAAAUCGAGCUUCUGAAGCG
This is a small nucleolar RNA of Papaver somniferum (opium poppy), 72 nucleotides long. RefSeq annotates it as small nucleolar RNA snoR60. The transcript has a single exon. The record is from RefSeq and is a predicted model, not a curated record. NCBI's taxonomy places the organism in Eukaryota, Viridiplantae, Streptophyta, Magnoliopsida, Ranunculales, Papaveraceae.